This 371-nucleotide ribosomal RNA is filed under the name uncultured organism. RNAcentral describes it as "partial 16S ribosomal RNA". It matches the Rfam family "Bacterial small subunit ribosomal RNA", at positions 527 to 896 of the family's 1533-position model. The record is from RNAcentral.
GUAGGUGGCAAGCGUUGUCCGGAAUUAUUGGGCGUAAAGCGCGCGCAGGCGGUUCUUUAAGUCUGAUGUGAAAGCCCACGGCUCAACCGUGGAGAGUCAUUGGAAACUGGAGAACUUGAGUACAGAAGAGGAAAGCGGAAUUCCACGUGUAGCGGUGAAAUGCGUAGAGAUGUGGAGGAACACCAGUGGCGAAGGCGGCUUUCUGGCCUGUAACUGACGCUGAGGCGCGAAAGCGUGGGGGAGCAAACAGGAUUAGAUACCCUGGUAGUCCACGCCGUAAACGAUGAGUGCUAAGUGUUAGGGGGUUUCCGCCCCUUAGUGCUGCAGCUAACGCAUUAAGCACUCCGCCUGGGAGUACGGCCGCAAGGCUG